GAUGAACGCUGGCGGCGUGCCUAAUACAUGCAAGUCGAGCGAACGGACGAGAAGCUUGCUUCUCUGAUGUUAGCGGCGGACGGGUGAGUAACACGUGGAUAACCUACCUAUAAGACUGGGAUAACUUCGGGAAACCGGAGCUAAUACCGGAUAAUAUUUUGAACCGCAUGGUUCAAAAGUGAAAGACGGUCUUGCUGUCACUUAUAGAUGGAUCCGCGCUGCAUUAGCUAGUUGGUAAGGUAACGGCUUACCAAGGCAACGAUGCAUAGCCGACCUGAGAGGGUGAUCGGCCACACUGGAACUGAGACACGGUCCAGACUCCUACGGGAGGCAGCAGUAGGGAAUCUUCCGCAAAGGGCGAAAGCCUGACGGAGCAACGCCGCGUGAGUGAUGAAGGUCUUCGGAUCGUAAAACCCUGCUAUUAGGGAAGAACAUAUGUGUAAGUAACUGUGCACAUCUUGACGGUACCUAAUCAGAAAGCCACGGCUAACUACGUG
Molecule: ribosomal RNA, 497 nt
Filed under: uncultured bacterium
Lineage: Bacteria
Description: partial 16S ribosomal RNA
Rfam family: Bacterial small subunit ribosomal RNA
Source: RNAcentral